UCAAAGGAUGAUAGCAUAAUAAAAAAAUUGAUCGUAACCCUACUCCUCCGAAUGUUUUACCCUCCUCACUCUCUUAUCCCAAAUCUCUCUCUCUCUCUCUCUUUGUCGAGAUCUGUCGCCUCCUUCCCUUUUUUCUUUACAAACAGUUUCAGAAUCACCUUCACCAAUCGUUAAACUUCUACUAAUCCAUUGUGAUCCAACAAACAAAAGAGGGUAUUCAUGGAAAACAUCUUCCACUUUUGAGUAAUAAAAAGAGAGAAAGAAAAUGUGGAUUUGGGAUUUUUUUUUGCAAAUUUCAUGUACAAUUUGUAUUGAAACCCUUUAAUAAUUUCUGCGUUAAUUAGCUCAAUCGAUUUAAUUAUUAUUUUCUUUUUGUUAUAUGUUCGAUUUUGAUUUCUGUAUUUUCAAUAUGAAAUUUAUUCUGUUGAUCACUAAACCUAGUUCUAUCUAAUGAUUUCAUAGUGAUUGUGCUCUGGCACUUGUGGUGGUGUUGAUUCUAAUUGCGAAGGUUGUGGUGAUAAUGGUAGUUGUUUAAUUUUGAUUGGUUUUGGUGGAUAGUUUUCCUAGAUUAGUUCAAUUGAGGGUAAUUUUUGGGCUAAUUCAUGGUGUAAAUUUAGCGAUUAUGGUAGAUAAGAUGUUCUCUCAGUUUAAAAUGCAGUAAGAAAUUAUUACAUGAUUUAUUGGAUCUCGUUUGUGAUAUUUAAGUUCUUUAGUUGUGAUAUUACAUGAUGAUACAGUAAGAAAUGUUUGAAGAAAUUAAAAUAAUUUGUUAUUAUUGUUUUUCAGAAAUCCUUAACAGACUUUGUUUUUCAUUAUUGUAUUGUUAGUUUCAAUUUAAAACUUUGAUUAGGUAUUUCUAUUUUAGUUUAAGUUUUCAAGUUCAAUAUGUCAAAAUUAAGUUUUCUGUUUUCUUUGAUUUUAAUGGGUGAACUAUUUGAUAAGUUGUCUCAGUGAACAUAACGUUAUUUGUCUAAACUUUCGUAAGUUUAAUUGGGUAGUUACCAUUCUAUUCAAUCGAAAUUAUUUAUGUUAGAUUAUGGUACAUCCACAUAAUACUUCAGGGAUACUUAUAGACAUGUUACCAAGAUGCUGGUGUGAUUGCUGGAUUAAAUAUAACAAGAAUCAUCAAUGUACCAACUGUCACACUAUAGCUUAUGGUUUCCUUGACUAUAACGGGUGUUGCGUCUGUUGACAUGGUAAGGGAAUAAAAACCACACAUAAAGAGAAAUUAGCUUUCGUGAAUGUUAAUAUGCAUUUGACCUUACCCACCAUUUUUUUAGUGUAAAAAAUCUAGGACUCUCCAUUUGUCAUUUACUCCCCGCUUCCUAAAGGAUGAUGCUUUGUGAUGAUAUUUUGAUGAAUAUUUUGAUGAAAACAAAUUUAAUAGUUUAGUGAUGCACCUUUUUUUUCUCUUGCAGAUAAGCCCUUUUGAACCAUGACAUUUCUCAAUGUCAACUCCCAUACCAUAUUUUGUUUGUUUCUGACGCACUAAAUUGGUGUUUGAUUCUGUUAGAUAUCUGCCUGUGAUUUCCAUUUGAACAAUUUCCAUACGCUCACUCAUCAAUAGAACUGAUGGGGAUAGAUAGACACCUCUGUGCCAAACUUUAUGUGAAACUAUUAAUGCUAACUAAACUGGAUUAGUCUUCAUGCAUUUAAUAUACAUUUCAGAGUGAUUAUAUAUAUGACUACUAACCCAAGUUCAGUCAGCCCACUUCUGCGAUAAUCAUUUCAUUAGUUGGUCAGGAGUUGUGGAUGCACACAUGAAGGAUGGUGUGAGACUUCUUAACCUCAACGUGGUAAUGUGAUUGGAGUCCAGUCCAUUACCAAGAGUCAACCCACAAGUUCUGGAACAAUAAGGUAACCUGCAUUAUGUGCUGGUCAUUGCUACCCAUUUAAGGAAUUACAUUUUUCCAAGGUAUUGCAGCCGCCACCGCCACCAUCAGCACCGUCCCUGUCAGAACAAUGAGCUAUUGCAGCGAGACGGCGAAGAGGGAGCUCCACCACCCUCUGAGGAUACAGCGAAAACGACGACGUGCUACAACCAAUGCUGAUUAUAACAGCAAAGAACUUCAAGCAAUGAUACAAGUGGAGGCUUAUAUAAUUCAAGCGCAGGCUAACCAAAUAUGCGCACAAAAUGAGAUCAUCAAAAAGCUGCAAGAAGAUGAUGAAAAGUUCACACAAAAAAUGCAGAAACCGAUGCUUACACUCGGGCUAAACAACAGUACCGUUGAUGGAUCAACUGAUGUUUUAGUCUUGGUAUUAUCUUUUUACUUAUUUACUUGUCACAUUAAUGUUGGAUCAACAGUGUUUUUUUUAUUUAUUCGUAGAGUUUAUUUAUCGGGUAUUUUUUAGUUUGGAUACUGUUUCAACAACUUAUUUAAAUGGAUAAUUAUUUUUUAUUCAACUAA
Long non-coding RNA from Papaver somniferum (opium poppy), 2408 nucleotides. RefSeq lists it as uncharacterized. The transcript has 2 exons. The record is from RefSeq and is a predicted model, not a curated record. Lineage: Eukaryota; Viridiplantae; Streptophyta; Magnoliopsida; Ranunculales; Papaveraceae.